RNAcentral lists this ribosomal RNA (331 nucleotides) under uncultured Bacteroidales bacterium. RNAcentral describes it as "bacterial SSU rRNA". It matches the Rfam family "Bacterial small subunit ribosomal RNA", at positions 1031 to 1361 of the family's 1533-position model. The record is from RNAcentral. Lineage: Bacteria; Pseudomonadati; Bacteroidota; Bacteroidia; Bacteroidales.
UGUGAAGGUGCUGCAUGGUUGUCGUCAGCUCGUGCCGUGAGGUGUCGGCUUAAGUGCCAUAACGAGCGCAACCCUUGCCUUUAGUUACUAACAGUUUAUGCUGGGGACUCUACCGGGACUGCCAUCGUAAGAUGUGAGGAAGGUGGGGAUGACGUCAAAUCAGCACGGCCCUUACGUCCGGGGCUACACACGUGUUACAAUGGGAGGUACAGAAGGCUGCUACCCGGCGACGGGAUGCCAAUCCCCAAAACCUCUCUCAGUUCGGAUUGGAGUCUGCAACCCGACUCCAUGAAGCUGGAUUCGCUAGUAAUCGCGCAUCAGCCACGGCGCG